AGGAAUAUUGGUCAAUGGGCGAGAGCCUGAACCAGCCAAGUAGCGUGCAGGAUGACGGCCCUAUGGGUUGUAAACUGCUUUUAUAAGGGAAUAAAGUUAGUCUCGUGAGACUUUUUGCAUGUACCUUAUGAAUAAGGACCGGCUAAUUCCGUGCCAGCAGCCGCGGUAAUACGGAAGGUCCGGGCGUUAUCCGGAUUUAUUGGGUUUAAAGGGAGCGUAGGCCGGAGAUUAAGCGUGUUGUGAAAUGUAGACGCUCAACGUCUGCACUGCAGCGCGAACUGGUUUCCUUGAGUACGCACAAAGUGGGCGGAAUUCGUGGUGUAGCGGUGAAAUGCUUAGAUAUCACGAAGAACUCCGAUUGCGAAGGCAGCUCACUGGAGCGCAACUGACGCUGAAGCUCGAAAGUGCGGGUAUCGAACAGGAUUAGAUACCCUGGUAGUCCGCACGGUAAACGAUGGAUGCCCGCUGUUGGUCUGAACAGGUCAGCGGCCAAGCGAAAGCAUUAAGCAUCCCACCUGGGGAGUACGCCGGCAACGGUGAAACUCAAAGGAAUUGACGGGGGCCCGCACAAGCGGAGGAACAUGUGGUUUAAUUCGAUGAUACGCGAGGAACCUUACCCGGGCUUGAAUUGCAGAGGAAGGAUUUGGAGACAAUGACGCCCUUCGGGGUCUCUGUGAAGGUGCUGCAUGGUUGUCGUCAGCUCGUGCCGUGAGGUGUCGGCUUAAGUGCCAUAACGAGCGCAACCCCUCUCCUUAGUUGCCAUCAGGUCAUGCUGGGCACUCUGGGGACACUGCCACCGUAAGGUGUGAGGAAGGUGGGGAUGACGUCAAAUCAGCACGGCCCUUACGUCCGGGGCUACACACGUGUUACAAUGGCAGGUACAGAGAGACGGUCCCUUGCAAAAGGGAUCAAAUCCUCAAAGCCUGUCUCAGUUCGGACUGGGGUCUGCAACCCGACCCCACGAAGCUGGAUUCGCUAGUAAUCGCGCAUCAGCCAUGGCGCGGUGAAUACGUUCCCGGGCCUUGUACACAC
RNAcentral lists this ribosomal RNA (1032 nucleotides) under uncultured bacterium. RNAcentral describes it as "bacterial SSU rRNA". It matches the Rfam family "Bacterial small subunit ribosomal RNA", at positions 357 to 1390 of the family's 1533-position model. The record is from RNAcentral.